Long non-coding RNA from Strigops habroptila (Kakapo), 3194 nucleotides. NCBI's taxonomy places the organism in Eukaryota, Metazoa, Chordata, Aves, Psittaciformes, Psittacidae. The record is from Ensembl.
UGGACCAUCAUUUCAAUUAAAUGGACGCCUUCAGUACAGAAGAGCACCAAAAAAAAAUACAGGAAACUUCUGGAAUUAUAUUAAGAGCAUUGACAGAUAUCUGCAAAAAUAUGUGGGUACCUCCACAGGAAAAUCUUUGUGGAUCUGGGUGAAGAUUACAUAUCAAAAUAACUAAAAAUAGUUACGAAACUAUGAAUUUUCUAGAAGAAAAUAGUUUGAUUUUCAGAUUCUGAUCUGAAGCCCAUUGCAAUAAAAGGAACUUUGACUCUGCAGAGUAUCAUGCUUGGGAUAAUUUUUGAGAGCUUUCCUUUCAUUGACUAGUACAAAGAGUCUCAAUGAAGUCUGCAGAAUUAGUCAUUUAGUGUCUUUAGGGAUGAAGUAGUGAAAAACAUCCUGAUAAAGUAAACCAAAUGGAAUAAUAAUUGCAUCUUGAGUGAGUAACAGAGUUUAUGUUUGGGUAUAAUCUUCUGCAGGGAAUUUUUUUAAACACUGAGUGUCUGUUCUGCAAAAUUUGUCAUAGCUAGUGAAAACAUUUCAAUACCAAGGACCGGAAAAUAUAGUUUCUUUUGCCUUCAUGCACACAAAACUCUCUCUUCUCAUGUGAUCAUGCUUGCUAGUGAUUCUUGGUGAAAUCAGAUGAUGAGUAUGAAAGAGCAAGACCUUGUAUUUUACAUAUUCUACAACAUCAGGCAUUGGAAAACUAACAAAGCUCUUCCUGACAGAGUUGUUAGAUUGUUACAUAAAUUGUUGCUUUUCCAUCUUCACACUAUAUUACAUCUAGUCUUCUGUAAAUCUUCUUGCUUAUUGCUUUUUUAAUUACCACAUUUCUCAGCUCUGAGUUACAGCUAGUCCUAUGGUUUUAGGAGGGGCAUGUAUUGUUACAAACACAGGUGGUUUGGGUUUGUUUCCAAAGUAAAAAUUAUUAACUAAGUGUUGGCAGCUGCAUCUACCACUUUAUAUAUAUUUAAAUCUAUUUUAUGGUAACAGUUUCUUGUUCCAGAUAUAAGGGUGGGAAGUGCAUCUAUACCCUGUAAUCUAAUCAACCUUUCACAGCUCACAGUGGCAAUCAAGUCCUGGAAAGAAUGUUUUGAUGAGAACAAAGCUGUUGAGGAAUUCUCCUGAGUUUUGUUAGAAUGAUGGCUUGGAAUUGAUAUGCCAAAACCUGUGACAAGCCUGUAAAACACAAAAGACAACUUACUGAUAUGGUUAUAGUGCUUUGUGAAUUUUCUGUAACACUGCUUUUCAUAGACCAUAUAGGCAGAUCAUGCAGGGCAGUCUCCUGUCCUGCUUUUGCUCUGACAGCACGCUGAUCAUGAGGCAGGGAAGUGUUUACAAGUGUUGCUAUCCUUCAGAGAGUUUGAAUUGCCAAACUAGUAGCGAGUCUAUUCUACCUCCCAAUGAAUGUUGGUCUAUAGUGUGAUAAUUCCCAAAUAAAUUGCUUCACUGACUCUGCUCAUGGUCUUCUUCGCAGCGCCCCGUUCAAGCCUCCAGCUAUCACCUUUCUCGGUAUAGAGUUCCAUAGCACACUUAUUCCAAUCUGAGGCCUUAGGCUCUAAACCUCUGUUGUUCAUUGCAAUAACCUUCAACAGGUCAGGUCAACACCUGCAGUUCCAGUUCUUGCAGCAUAAUAGUACCUGGCUUGUUCCUGAAAAACAAUGUAUUAUUUAAACCAAAACACUUUAGAGAAAGCAUUUUUCAAAAGAGCAGUCAGUCUGGCAUGUCUCUACACCCACUUUGCUCAAGUUAGUUGACAUCAACAGUCCUGUGCUAUGUCAGAUGUUUUGAACAAAGUGGAAUGACUCCUUCAACUCUCCUGACUAGGGAUAAAAUACUGGAAGACUCAUCUCCUCUUUUACUGUUAUCAUCAUGUUUUAAUAUCUUUAAUGUCUUCAUUUCCUGAAGGAUACAAAUAUAACGUGUUGCAGUAAUGUUCUCAGAAACUUCUUGUCCCUGAGGGGAGGGAUGUGGCUUUAAGGUCGUCUUAUGCCCUCAAAUUUAAUUUAAUUUUAUACAGAUAUCAGGCAGAUACUUCUUUAUUCAAGAUUCUAAUACACUUGUAUGUUUAAAAGAAUUUUAAAGACAGAGGUGAUUUAAUAGCAAGAAAUCAGUAGACUCCGUAUCACUGAUUUCUUCUAAAUUGUAUGGAGUUUAUCAGUCUUUAUCAUAGAUUUUGAAUGACCGUAGAAAUCAGCAGACCCAUUGAUGGCUUCUGAAAUUGUCUUGAGAAAUUGCAAUCUCAGAAAUAUUUUCUUUUGCUUCUUCUUGAAGCUUUUUCUGAAUAAGCUAUCCAUUUUUUAAAAGCUUGCAUUUAUUGUUUUAAGGGAUUCUUUGCUUUGUAAUAGUCAUGUUACAGAGCUGGUUGGAACUGACCUUUGAUAUGCCUUUAAAAAUUGACAGGAAUGCUGUUGUGCGGUGACAUAUUUGACAAUUCCUCCUAAUUAAAAAAAGGAAAACCAAGGCCCUAUCUGACAUGAAAGUGUGUAAUGUCGCAAUGUUCUGUGUUGUCAUGAUGUAGAAUGCCAGGCGAAAAAAUACAAAGAAAGUGCAAUUGCAAGGCAAAAUUGAAGACUGUUUCUUCGGGGGUGAGGGGAAGUUCCACCCAUGUGAAGAGAUUCAGCUUUUGAACAGCUUAACUCCACGUUUCUCCUGUCAAACUUUCAACAGUUGUUUUUGCAGAUGUAGUCAUAGAUGAAUGACCAUGUAACCAUAAAAUAUAGUGUAGAGAUGAGGAAAUUAGUUUCAGACACAGUAGGGUGUAACACUAUGGAAGUUGAUUCGCUGUUCAAAAGAGUAUUUUUAUCUGUCUCUCUAUCCUCUGUGCAAGGGAGACUGGCUGAUGUGGCAUUGCUGUGCCUAAAUCACUUUCAGUACCUGAGCUAAUUGACUUUAAUUUUUAGGCUAAUUCAUCCAUCCCUAGGCUGAAAAGCAGACAGCACUGAAAGCAAACCGUAAGAAUGGAACUUAAGUAAAACCAGUGGAAAACACUGAAUAAUUAAAUGUAACUCCCAAGUAAAGAGACUCUGCCUCACUGCUGGGUAUUGAAAGUGAUCAUUCCCAUGCAUCAACCAUCCGGGGCUGGGGCCAUCUCCGGAUUUUGUUUGUGUGCUUGCUUCUCUUGUUUUAGCUUCUGAAACACUUCAUGUAUUUUAUUUCUAUAAAAUUACUUGCUUGGCCUUGCUCAUAAAUACACUGUG